This is a long non-coding RNA of Arvicola amphibius (Eurasian water vole), 3231 nucleotides long. RefSeq lists it as uncharacterized. The transcript is spliced from 3 exons. Lineage: Eukaryota; Metazoa; Chordata; Mammalia; Rodentia; Cricetidae. The record is from RefSeq and is a predicted model, not a curated record.
UUGAUAGGUGGAGAAAACAGAAGUGAAUGCUGGGAGGAAGAAGGGCAGAGUGGCAGAUGUCAUGGAUUCUCCGCCUGAGAUGGACGCCCGUUAGAAUCUCCAGAUGCCAACAGGCCCAAUCCUGAGACUCUCUUGCAAGGAGUCACAGCUGCUCUGAUGAUGACGACAAUGGUGUUCUGCCGUAGAGGACAGCAUUCUACAACUCCCGUCUCUCCAAGGGCAAGAUGAACAAAAUUCCUCAUCUCCACUGUGGACUGGCUCCAGAUUCCCUGGCCGAGCUGACUCAUCUUCUAGUGCUGUCUGGCUGUUAAGGCAACCAGAGUCACUGCAUCUGUGUUCAUACAAGUAAAAGCACUGUGAGCUCCAGAGUCAGAGACCCCAACGCUGACUGCAUGCUGUCACAUGAUGCAGACCACGUGGACCCCAGAAAGACUGAGCAUCUCGGCCAAAGAUUGGGUGAGAUGAGCCAAGUGUGACACCGCCUGCUAUUGUAGGAGUUAGUGGGGGGAUCAGCUGUCUCCCCAGAGGCUCUGAAUGUACUUAACACUGUUGAUAAGUCACCAAGGAGAGCGAGCAAAACAAAACACAACGUAGUUAAGACAAACUCUGCGUAACUCUGCUCGGAUUUGACUUCUCAGAGAUGGGGAUCAAAUGCAUACUACGUUAAUUCAUCUGUCCUUCCUUCUUCCCUUCCUUCCUUCCUUUUCUUCAUUCUGUAGCCCAGCCUAGCCUGGUGCUCACUGUAUAGCCCAAACUGGUCUAGAACGUGCAAUCCUCCUGCCUCUCUCUCCUAAAUGCUGGUAUUACAGGGCAAACUACCAUUCCUAACUCAUGUUUUUCCUUUUCUUCUCUUCUUCCCCUCCCCUUUCUCUCCCCGCUCCCCUCCUUGUCCCCCUCAUUCCCUUUACCCCUCCCUUUUAUUUACAGUGCAAUGAACAUGUGCUUGUUUUCCGGUUGUUAAAUAUUAACUCAUAUUCAAGAUACAUCGCUUUAAAAAUAUUCUAUACACAAGGCUGGGGAUGUAGCUCAAGUUGGUAAAGUACUUGACUAGCAUACAGGAAACCUGGGUUUGAUCCUCAGGACACCUCAAGUGGUGACAAACGCCUGUCACUCAGCAUUUGGGAGAUGGCGGCAGGAGAGCCUAAGGUCAAGGUGACAUUCAACUACCUAGCAAGUUCGAGGCCACUCUAAGUGAUACGAAAGCCUGUCUCAAAGCAGAUAAAUAAGCGCCAGUGAGAUCACUGGGUAUAGCAGCUCCUGUCCUCAGGCUUCAGGCCUGAGUGUGAGCCCCAGGCCCACACAGUGGAAGGAACGGACUGGUUCCACAAAUUGCUCUCAAGAUCCCCACAUCCCACUGUGGCAUGCACACCUAUACAUUAUUCAAUAAAAUGUAAUCAGCGUUGAAAUGGAGUAAAGAGAGUGGAUCAGAAGUGAAGAGCUCCGGCGGCCCCUCCCAGCAGGCCCGAGUUUGAUUCCCAGUCACACCAUCCGGAACUGGUCCGACAGGGAGGAGUGUGGCGGACACAGCAAAUGGCCACACCUUCCCUGAAGACCCUCACGCAGUCCCGCCCCGGGCAUUUCUGCACCAACACACACUUUACAAUGUUCUGGUCGCUUCUGCAAGACCCUGAGAGCCGAGGCUGGGGCUACCUAGGCCUCUAUGCCAAAAGGAUGGAGCCGUUCCCUUAUUUGGCAUUUGGCCCAGUUCCAGUAUUUUGCUCUUAUAAAUAGUACAUGAAGUUCUUUGUGAAAAUUACAUUUUUCCCAUUUUUUGGGUUAUUACUGCCUUGGGGUAUAGUCUCAAAAAUUAGUUGCGCAGCUCUUAAUGCCCACUUGUCAGAACAUUCCCCAGGCAAACGGUGGUAUAUUUGAGCAUUUUGAGUUUUUAUUUUCCAAUAGUGUAUUCAUUUUUGUAUGUAUGUGUGGUUUUUUGAGACAGGGCUUCUCUGUGUAGCCCUGGCUGUCCUGGAACUCACUCUGUAGACCAGGCUGGCCUCAAACUCACAGACAUCCACCUGCCUCUGCCUCCUGAACGCUGGGAUUAAAGACCUGUGCCACCACUGCCCAGCUACCAUAUCCAUUUUUGAAAACCAUAUGACUUCAGUUUUCCUUAAGGCUGCUUACAUGGCAGGACUUUUGCCAGCUUUUUCUAAAUUUCCACGAAAAUACAUUCAGGCGUUUUGAAUGUUUGACCAGAUUUUUCCCCCAAUAACACAAAGUAAGACAACUUCCUCUUUUUUCCCCCUUUUCCUCUUCGUCCUUCAGCGGGGAAAAGAAGUUGGGAAAUGUCAAAACAUCGUCAACAUAGUAAAACCAGAGCAAUCUUUUAGUGGCUGUGCAGGGACAUUCUCCAGCCAGCUCAGCUGGAGGUGACGGCUCCUCGCGCCCCAACACACACACACACACACACACACACACACACCACACCACCCCACACCAAAUACACACAUGAGGAAGUAAGCAAAUAAAUGUAAACAAAUCAGAAAAUCCCAUAACUAUCUAACUAGACAAUCGGGUCCUUCCACAUGCUAAGCAAGGACUCUGCCACAGCCCACAGCUCUAGCCUUAUUUAUUUACUUAUUUUGUUUUUGUUUUGGGAGGAGUGUUAUUGUUGUUUAUUUUGAUUGUGUGUUCUGGACUGUUUUUCUUUUUUUUUAAAUAUCAAUAAAGAAUUUUUUAGAAGUAUUUUUUUUACCUAUUUCAUGUGUGUCACAUGUUUGCACUCAGGUGUGUAUGCCAUGGUGAACAUGAGGUCAGAGGCCACUUUGCUGAAGCUGGUUCUCUCCUUCUCCGUGGGUUCCAGGGCUGGGAUUUGGGUCGUCAGGCUUGGCAGCAAGUGUCUUUACCCCCUGAGCCAUCUCACUAGCCCAGUUCUUACCACCAUGGAAGCUUUACCUAAAAGAAGCACAGGACACAAAUGUCACACACAGAAUUUCAUAAGUUCCUGACUCAGAAGUCUGUCCCUGAACUUCAUUUUCAAAAGUGGCAAUGAUUUCCAAAAACCGAUUCAUUUUCUCGUGGACAUUCUACAGAUGCUGCCUGUUCACAGUCUUAUUUCAUAAAGUAAUUAAUUCUUCCAGUUAAAGGCUACCUGGGGUCAGCCAGGCAGCGGUGGCGUGCAUCUUUAAUCCCAGUACCCAGGAACCCUGUCAGUUCGAGGACAGCCUGCUCCACAGAGUUCCACGACAGGCAAGCUAUACAAAGAAACCCUGUCUCGAAAAAAAAAAAAAA